GAUGAAGAACGCAGCGAAAUGCGAUACGUAAUGUGAAUUGCAGAAUUCAGUGAAUCAUCGAGUCUUUGAACGCACAUUGCGCCCCCUGGUAUUCCGGGGGGCAUGCCUGUCCGAGCGUCAUUGCUGCCCUCAAGCACGGCUUGUGUGUUGGGCCUCCGUCCUCCUCCCGGGGGACGGGCCCGAAAGGCAGCGGCGGCACCGCGUCCGGUCCUCGAGCGUAUGGGGCUUCGUCACCCGCUCUUGUAGGCACGGCCGGCGCUUGCCGACACAUCAAUCUUUUUUCCAGGUUGACCUCGGAUCAGGUAGGGAUACCCGCUGAACUUAAGCAUAUCAAUAAGCGGAGGA
Molecule: unclassified non-coding RNA, 345 nt
Filed under: soil metagenome
Description: partial contains 5.8S ribosomal RNA, internal transcribed spacer 2, and large subunit ribosomal RNA
Rfam family: 5.8S ribosomal RNA (bases 1-120)
Source: RNAcentral